This 466-nucleotide ribosomal RNA is filed under the name uncultured bacterium. Its description in RNAcentral is "partial 16S ribosomal RNA". It matches the Rfam family "Bacterial small subunit ribosomal RNA", at positions 28 to 507 of the family's 1533-position model. The record is from RNAcentral.
GACGAACGCUGGCGGCGCGCCUAACACAUGCAAGUCGAACGAGCGAGAGAGAGCUUGCUUUCUCGAGCGACUGGCGAACGGGUGAGUAACGCGUGAGGAACCUGCCUCAAAGAGGGGGACAACAGUUGGAAACGACUGCUAAUACCGCAUAAGCCCACGGCUCGGCAUCGAGCAGGGGGAAAAGGAGCAAUCCGCUUUGAGAUGGCCUCGCGUCCGAUUAGCUAGUUGGUGAGGUAACGGCCCACCAAGGCGACGAUCGGUAGCCGGACUGAGAGGUUGAACGGCCACAUUGGGACUGAGACACGGCCCAGACUCCUACGGGAGGCAGCAGUGGGGAAUAUUGCACAAUGGGGGAAACCCUGAUGCAGCGACGCCGCGUGGAGGAAGAAGGUCUUCGGAUUGUAAACUCCUGUUGUUGGGGAAGAUAAUGACGGUACCCAACAAGGAAGAGACGGCUAACUACGUG